RNAcentral lists this ribosomal RNA (506 nucleotides) under uncultured bacterium. Its description in RNAcentral is "partial 16S ribosomal RNA". It matches the Rfam family "Bacterial small subunit ribosomal RNA", at positions 30 to 523 of the family's 1533-position model. The record is from RNAcentral.
AUUGAACGCUGGCGGCAGGCCUAACACAUGCAAGUCGAACGGCAGCACAGAAGAGCUUGCUCUUUGGGUGGCGAGUGGCGGACGGGUGAGUAAUGUCUGGGAAACUGCCCGAUGGAGGGGGAUAACUACUGGAAACGGUAGCUAAUACCGCAUAACGUCGCAAGACCAAAGUGGGGGACCUUCGGGCCUCACACCAUCGGAUGUGCCCAGAGGGGAUUAGCUAGUAGGUGGGGUAAUGGCUCACCUAGGCGACGAUCCCUAGCUGGUCUGAGAGGAUGACCAGCCACACUGGAACUGAGACACGGUCCAAACUCCUACGGGAGGCAGCAGUGGGGAAUAUUGCACAAUGGGCGCAAGCCUGAUGCAGCCAUGCCGCGUGUAUGAAGAAGGCCUUCGGGUUGUAAAGUACUUUCAGCGGGGAGGAAGGCGGUGAGGUUAAUAACCUUGCCGAUUGACGUUACCCGCAGAAGAAGCACCGGCUAACUCCGUGCCAGCAGCCGCAGUAA